GAAAUGCGAUAAGUAAUGUGAAUUGCAGAAUUCAGUGAAUCAUCGAAUCUUUGAACGCACAUUGCGCCCGCCAGUAUUCUUGCGGGCAUGCCUGUCCGAGCGUCAUUUCAACCAUCAAGCCCCCGGGCUUGUGUUGGGGACCUGCGGCUGCCCGCAGGCCCUGAAAACCAGUGGCGGGCUCGCUGUCACACCGAGCGUAGUAGCAAUCACCUCGCUCAGGGCGUGCUGCGGGUUCCGGCCGUUAAACAGCCUUACAAAACCCAAGGUUGACCUCGGAUCAGGUAGGAAGACCCGCUGAACUUAAGC
This 306-nucleotide unclassified non-coding RNA is filed under the name plant metagenome. Its description in RNAcentral is "partial contains 5.8S ribosomal RNA, internal transcribed spacer 2, and large subunit ribosomal RNA". The stretch from base 1 to 105 matches the Rfam family "5.8S ribosomal RNA", at positions 50 to 154 of the family's 154-position model. The record is from RNAcentral.